GUAGGUGGCAAGCGUUGUCCGGAAUUAUUGGGCGUAAAGCGCGCGCAGGCGGUUCUUUAAGUCUGAUGUGAAAGCCCACGGCUCAACCGUGGAGGGUCAUUGGAAACUGGAGAACUUGAGUACAGAAGAGGAAAGCGGAAUUCCACGUGUAGCGGUGAAAUGCGUAGAGAUGUGGAGGAACACCAGUGGCGAAGGCGGCUUUCUGGUCUGUAACUGACGCGGAGGCGCGAAAGCGUGGGGAGCAAACAGGGAUUAGAUACCCUGGUAGUCCACGCCGUAAACGAUGAGUGCUAAGUGUUAGGGGGGUUUCCGCCCCCUUAGUGCUGCAGCUAACGCAUUAAGCACUCCGCCUGGGGAGUACGGCCGCAAGGCUG
RNAcentral lists this ribosomal RNA (374 nucleotides) under uncultured organism. Its description in RNAcentral is "partial 16S ribosomal RNA". It matches the Rfam family "Bacterial small subunit ribosomal RNA", at positions 527 to 896 of the family's 1533-position model. The record is from RNAcentral.